GUGCCCUUCAGUUCGGAAAACCCAGGGAAACUUGGGCUAAUACCGGAUACGUCCGUAAGGAGAAAGAUUUAUCGCUGAAGGAUCGGCCCGCGUCUGAUUAGCUAGUUGGUGGGGUAACGGCCCACCAAGGCGACGAUCAGUAGCUGGUCUGAGAGGAUGAUCAGCCUCACUGGGACUGAGACACGGCCCAGACUCCUACGGGAGGCAGCAGUGGGGAAUAUUGGACAAUGGGCGCAAGCCUGAUCCAGCCAUGCCGCGUGGGUGAUGAAGGCCCUAGGGUUGUAAAGCCCUUUCGGCGGGGAAGAUAACGACGGUACCCGCAGAAGAAGCCCCGGCUAACUUCGUGCCAGCAGCCGCGGUAAUACGAAGGGGGCUAGCGUUGCUCGGAAUCACUGGGCGUAAAGCGCACGUAGGCGGCUUUUUAAGUCAGGGGUGAAAUCCUGGAGCUCAACUCCAGAACUGCCCUUGAUACUGAGAAGCUUGAGUCCGGGAGAGGUGAGUGGAACUGCGAGUGUAGAGGUGAAAUUCGU
RNAcentral lists this ribosomal RNA (530 nucleotides) under uncultured Hyphomicrobiales bacterium. RNAcentral describes it as "bacterial SSU rRNA". It matches the Rfam family "Bacterial small subunit ribosomal RNA", at positions 126 to 691 of the family's 1533-position model. The record is from RNAcentral. Lineage: Bacteria; Pseudomonadati; Pseudomonadota; Alphaproteobacteria; Hyphomicrobiales.